Molecule: long non-coding RNA, 1314 nt
Organism: Pyrus x bretschneideri (Chinese white pear)
Lineage: Eukaryota; Viridiplantae; Streptophyta; Magnoliopsida; Rosales; Rosaceae
Exons: 4
Source: RefSeq, a predicted model, not a curated record
UCUCUCCUUCUUUCCCGCUCUCGAUCAACGCUACCCACAUCCCUCCCUCUCUCGCUCUCGUAUUACUCCCUGAUCAAACCUGAAACCCUAAUUUCCUCUACCGAAUUAGGUUGCAUUGAAUUGCACUGCAGAUCAAAGAGAUUUCCCCAAUCCGAAACAAAUCAAACGGAACCUAGAACCCCAAAUUCGUAACGCCAUUCACAUCGUUUUCUUCUCUGGGGACGACUUUGAAACAGAGACAGAUAGAUUCCAGGCAACGAGCUUCUCGCUCUGGGAUACCAUCAAGUUUACAAACAGGCUAUGCCUCGAUGCAUAUGUGGUCAGAUCUUAGUUUGUAAUCAGAUGGUCUUAUGUGGACAGCGGAAAGAUAGAAGUAAGGUGUUUUCAUUUAGAGGAGACUCAAACUGGCUUUUGUUUCAGUUAAGUGCCAAAGUAGGGAUCUUCUUUGUGGCCAAUGUUGUAGCUCGAGGUUGCGAAACAAGCACGCCAACAUAUUCUUCCAACGGAUCUCCCUAGUUCUCGUUCAGCUUAUUUCUCACCUGGGUAAGAUCAGUUUCACUUCCAUGUUGUAUCACACUGCAAAAGAAUCAUAAGCGGUCAUUUCAAGUAGCCACCAGUGCCUCCCUCCAUUAAAGUAACGAUCCAUAGUAAAUUCUAACACAUCAGUGCAUCAUUUUAGAACUGCUUUUGCGGACAGUUAAUAAUUAAACUAAGCGGGUUACUGUUAUAUGAACUGCUUCUAACUUUCGUUUGUGAAUUGUGGUUGUUAACUUGUUAUAUGCUUAGUUAGUCCUUCUCAUGUUUGCGUUCUCCCGGCCUAUGUCAUUAUAUAGAGUUUACGCGCACACAUUUACGGCUGACAGUCACACAUGCAGUGAGCGGCUGGCCUUAGCCUUCCUCUUAGAUCUAUCUUAGAAGUGGAAGUAUUCUACAACUUGGAUUUACUUGGGCACUAAGGAUUCAUGAAUGUGUCAAAAGUCAAAAGUACCCAAGGAUUUACAUGGCUAUGCUGCUGUCUGGACUCUGGACCGUUGAGAUUCUUAGUUGAGUUUCAAUCAAACAGCUUUACCUUUACCAUCGGUUCCAAGUUUAUACAAAAAUCUGCCUUCUACAUCAUUAAUCCACAAAAUGCUAUAAAUAUAGGUUUCAAAAAUCAAUAUUGGAAAUUACGACUGUGGUCCUUUUGUAAUAUGUUGUUGUGGAAGCAUAUUGAUGCCCUUAGGAAUUUAUGAAUUGGAAAUCUGAUGUGUAGAUCUUUCGGAUUGAAUAACCUAGGAUUGUUGACCUUAGAAUAUCUUCAACCGUUGGGUUAAA